Cyprinus carpio carpio is the source of this 1110-nucleotide long non-coding RNA. The record is from Ensembl. NCBI's taxonomy places the organism in Eukaryota, Metazoa, Chordata, Actinopteri, Cypriniformes, Cyprinidae.
CCUGUAAGCUUCCCUCUGUCGGGAUAAGGAGCCAGGGCCGUUUUCCCAGGGCAGCGCUGAGGCUCCUUCGCUGAUUGGCUGAAUAACCUCACUACAAGGAAAGUUCACCAUGACAAAUCAUAUUCUCUGGAGAUGAAGAGAAAAGACCCUGGGAAAAAGGAAAAAUGAGAGAAGGAUGGAGGGAUGGAGAGGCAAAAAGCCAUUUUGGAAAGCCGUUGUGCUAGCCGGAUCAGUCUGAGCGCCACGUUUGACAGAGUGCUCUGUAGAAACCAUCACACACACUGCUGAUGAUAGUUGUGGUUGUUGUUGAGGAAUUAAGUAUGACCUUCACUCUAAUCGUGUUAGACAUUGGAAGGAAAGCGUCUAAUCAUCAAUCACUCAGCAGUCAGCAGAGUGGAAAGAUCACCCAACUCAAACACAGCGGGGACAAACAACAGCAUGCAGGGCUGUGACUAUACCAGCCCACCUUCAGGUUCACCAUUACCGCCAGGAUUGUCCGAUGCUUAUGAUCUCAGAGCUAGAGCUGCUGUUUUAAUGGCCUCCAUUUGGCAGGAAAGUAUUGCAGCUGCUGGGUGGUAAACCAAAAAAAAAUGGCAAUUUAUUUUAUUUUUUAUUUUAUUUUUUUUAUUGACCUUUUUAACAUUGUAUUUUUUCUGUGUAUCAGCACCUUGGUAGUCCAACUUGUAAUUGCUCCAUGGGGAUUAAAAAAGUUUUUUAAACUAAACUAAACUUAAACUCAAACUCUCACCAGUUGAGUUACAGGAACUUUGCAACAAAUUCAUAUGUCUUUUUGAAGAAGUCAGUCAGAUUAGGUAGAUGCCAGCAUCAUUUGCACCUUACACAAUGUGAAACUGUGUUUUUAGAGUUAUAUUUUUUACUUUUAUUUUGACAGGAGAGUUCAAAGUGAUAGGAGAGAGUGGAACAGGAUCUGGUCAGUGAGGUUUUUAAAAGAAGUCUCUCAUGCUCGCCAAGGCUGAAUUUAUUUGAUCAAAAUGUAAAAUAAUAUGACAGUUCAAAUUUACUAACAAUAAUUUAAAUGUAUAUUAAAAUGCAAUUUAUUCCUGUGAUGCAAUGCUAAAUUUUACAGCAGCCAUUACACCAGUCUUCAAU